Molecule: ribosomal RNA, 1158 nt
Filed under: Triticum aestivum (bread wheat)
Lineage: Eukaryota; Viridiplantae; Streptophyta; Magnoliopsida; Poales; Poaceae
Description: partial small subunit ribosomal RNA
Source: RNAcentral
AUGCUUGCCUCUCUCACCAUCACCAUACUAAUUAUGAUCAUGGCCACCUCCGUCGCACUUGCGUCGUCGGAUGCAGCGGUGCUCGAAGGACAAGCAAGAGCACUCCUCGUCUGGAAAGAUAGCAUCGACAACCAAAGCCAGCAGGCCCUGCGCUCCUGGGGAAACACGCCAGCGCCCUGCAAUUGGCGUGGCAUCACCUGUGGUACCGGUGUGCACCGGCACCGGCCAGUGAUCAACGACAUCUCUCUGCGGGGGAUGCGGCUAAGAGGGGCUCUGGAGUCCCUCAACUUCUCGGCCUUGAGGAACUUGACACGCCUCGACCUCUCACACAACCUCCUUGCUGGGAGCAUUCCUCCUAGUAUCGAGGUCCUUGGCGAGCUCCAUGCUCUCCUUCUGCAAGGCAACCAGAUAAGAGGCUCAAUCCCACUAGGUCUAGGAAAUCUCACAAAAUUGCAUUCCUUAAUGCUUCACGAAAAUGAUCUUUCCGGUGAAAUACCAAGCCAAAUAGGCAACAUGAGUAGAAAUUUGACCAAACUCACAACCUUGUCCCUUCGCAACAACCAACUUUCUGGGUUAAUUCCAAAAAAGUUAGAUUGCCUUUCAAACUUACAGUACCUGAGUCUUAGUGAAAAUAUACUCUCGGGUUCCAUCCCAAAUAGUAUAAGAAAUUUGACCAAACUUACAACCUUGUCCCUUCACAACAACCAACUUUCUGGGUUAAUUCCACAAGAAUUAGAUUUCCUUACGAACUUAGAGUACCUGGAUCUUAGUGAAAACAUAUUCUCGGGUUCCAUCCCGAAUUGCAUAGGAAAUUUGACCAAACUCACAAUCUUUUACCUUUACAGCAACCAACUUUCUGGGCACAUCCCUCGAGAACUAGGUCGCCUUGUGAACUUAGAGGAUUUGGAGCUUAGCGACAACACACUAACUGGUUCCAUCCCAAAUAGCAUAGGAAAUUUGAUUAAACUCACAGCAUUGUACCUUGACAGCAACCAACAUUCUGGACACAUCCCUCGAGAACUAGGUUACCUUGGGAACUUAGAGGAGUUGAAUCUUAGCAACAGCACACUAAGAGCAAGUACAAUAGAGCUGAGUCAGCGGGCUGUAACGAAUAAACUAGUAUAUUUCUGCUUAGUUGGAGGAAAGAGAAGAGGAUAG